This is a long non-coding RNA of Homo sapiens (human), 2919 nucleotides long. Ensembl annotates it as PPP1R26 antisense RNA 1. Its record names the gene PPP1R26-AS1. Lineage: Eukaryota; Metazoa; Chordata; Mammalia; Primates; Hominidae. The record is from Ensembl.
GUUCUGAAACCAGCGUCUCUGGUUACAACCAAAGAGGUUGCUCAGUCACACUCCUGAAAGGCAAAAGGAGGUUGGCCAGUAAAAAAGAUGUAAACCCUAGAUGUAGUUCUUAGUGUGGAAGCCACAGGAGAACUUCCAAUGUGGCCACGGGGAUCGCCGAGGCUUUUAUGCAGGGGAGUUCAGCCUACACCCAGGAAUGCACAAGGACAGCUUGGAGCUUAGAAGCAAGUGGAGUUGGUUCAUCUCUUUCACUGGCUCAUAAUUUUGCAACGGCGGUUUCAUCUCUACCCUGACAAUACCUUUUAGUUUUCUUACCCACUGGGGUCGAGACUUAAUUGAAGACCUCAGACGGACAGCAUAACACGGAACCUGAGACCUUGAUUUGCGGGGACAGGCUUAAAGUGUAUUCUGGAGUUGGUGCCCCCACCCCAGGGGCCGGCUCAGAGGGUUCACUUUCCAGCCUAACGGCAGGGGAACCAGAGGCUGCCGACCUGGAUCUCACCUUGAUGGAGGUCUUGUCACCUUCCUCCUUGGCUGGAGAGACAGACUGUGGAUGCUCUCCUGCUGGCCACCCAAAAACAACAAACAGACAAACAAAUAUGAAUGAGGAAAACUUGAAGAGGCCCCACGUGCCAGAGGUGGGACAGCUUGAGAUUUGGUGAGGAUAAUUGCAGUGGCUCAAAACCCAUAAAGAAGUUUAAGUCCAUGAGUUCACCGUAAUCUGAAACAAAAACAAAAACAAAAACAAAUUGAUCAUCUUUGGAGGCUAACAAUCAAUUCAUUAUCUAGAGACAGACAGAGGCUCACUAGUGGCACGAUCUUGGCUGAUUGCAUCUUCCACCUCCUGGGUUCAAGAGAUUCUUGUGCCUUAGCUUCCUGAGUAGCUAAGAUUACAGGUGUGCACCACCACGCCCGGCUAAUUUUUGUAUUUUUAGUUGAGAUGAGGUUUCACCAUGUUGGCCAGGCUGGUCUCGAACUCCUGACCUCAAGUGAUCUGCCCGCCCCGGCCUCCCAAAGUGCUGGGAUUACAGGCGUGAGCUACUGUGGCCGGCCACAUUUCCCUUCUGGUGCGCGUCCUCCUGUAGCUGUGGGAUCAGGGGAGGUAGAGAUGUCUUGUAACUGACUCAAGUUUGGCUGCUUGCCGCAGGAGAAGCGAGGUGUGGUGAAAGGAAAGCAACUUUUAUUCAGAUGCUAGCAGGUGGGAGAGUGGCCAGGCUCAAGGCUCUAAGGAACCAUCUCAGCUUUUUGGACUGCGUGAAGGGCUUUAGGAAGGAGAACUCGGUGUGGGAGACAUGUGGGAGUAGGGCAGUGGUGCAGGUGUCUUGAGUAAUUGCCCAUCCGGAGGUCUAGUUGGCAUCAUCUUGACCUUGGUCUGGUGGUGGUGGACUCAUUGUUCAUAACUCCCCUAGACAGGAGGAUUCCACAGCUGGGUUCUAUGCCUGGUUUAUUUAAAAAUGAGCCCCUGGCAUUUCUAAGCAGGCACAGAAUGAGAUAAGUGAGCACUGUGGCUGGUGGGAAAGGGAGGGAAACAGGUUUAAAGUAUGUUUCAAGGCUGCAUUCUGAGACUAGGAGGGAAAGGAAGAAAAACUUUAAAAUUCUUCUCAAGGCUGAGAUAUUUGACUACAGUCUCAUGCCCAAAAUGUUUCUAUUCUACACUGAGACCUGAUAGAUAAUUUGGCUGCAUACCUGGAGUCCAGUGUGUGCACCUGCCCCUCCCAUCCCAUACUCGCAGCCAGUGGAAAAGUCUGCAAAAGGAAGCCAGCUGGGAGUGCCCACCAGAGUCAAAGUCUGGGGCAGGCUGGUGGACUCAAGAGGAGUCUUAAAUAUUGGAAAUGUCAUCACAAACCAUCUGGGAAGCCCCCUCCUCUUAAAAAGGACAUAAAGUCAAAGUGAACAGGUGUGCUCACUCCAAGCCCGUGCCCACAACCACAGUGCCCUUCACAUUCAGAGUCAUGGCCACUAGCCACAAAAUUGUGACUUACAGUUCACAAAAUUGGGACAUAUUUACAUGUUGACUAAGUUGGGAAAUAAUUUGGAUUUUCUUUAAAAGUAGUAAAAGUAAAGAAGAAAAAGUCAAAAAGGUCUGACAUCUAAGAGGGUGAAAUUUCCUUACUUUAGAUCACAAGCAAUCAGGCUGAUCCCGCCUGAGCCCUGAGCUCCCUGGGACCCAGCAGCAGCUGUGCAUUGGCACGUGGUGCCCUGUGUCUGAUCAGCUGACUCCUCAGGCAAAACCUGCACCAUUUUCACCAGAAUUGCAGAUGUCCUCAGUGUCAUUACAAAGUUCCUAAGUCAUGACCAUUCUGUCCUGUGGAACCAGGCUGGACUAAGCUCCCAUUUCUUUAAGCCAUCCUGUCCCCUGCAGGGACUUCCAAGGUGGAGCUGAUGAGCAAUAGUUAUGAGUCAUUGGAGGAGACAUCCCAGAGGCGCCAGCUCCCCUCUGCCCUAAACUGAAAUUAAGACCUGGUGCUCUGGGUGGGGCCCCUGGAAGGGGAUGUGCAACUCAGAGGGGACCUUCUCCACCUCCACCCAGGAGACCCCAGAGGGACCAUGGCAGAGCCGGAGCCCUCUUUUUUUUUGUUCGUUUUUUAUUUUAUUAUUAUUAUACUUUAAGUUUUAGCCCUCUUUUAAAAACCAAAUGAAAAUAAGCAAAAGAAGCCAAUCGUCUCUGUGAAAUGUCCAGAAGAGGGAACUCUGUAGAGACAGAGAGGAUAUUAUUGGCUGCCGGAGGCUGGGAAUGGGAAGGUGAGGGGCCUGGGGAGGUGAUGGUUAAAAGAUUCUUCUUUGUGGUGAUGAAAUUGUCUUAAAAUGGACUGUGGUGAUAGUUGUGCAACUUGGUGAAUAUAUAAGUUAUUGAAUUGUACACUUUAAAUGGGUGAAUUGUAUGGUGUGUGAAACAUAUCUCAAUAAAGCUGUUAUUUG